CAAAGGUGAGCCAGUACAGGAUGGACCCGCGUCUGAUUAGCUAGUUGGUAAGGUAACGGCUUACCAAGGCGACGAUCAGUAGCCGACCUGAGAGGGUGAUCGGCCACAUUGGAACUGAGACACGGUCCAAACUCCUACGGGAGGCAGCAGUGGGGAAUAUUGCACAAUGGGCGAAAGCCUGAUGCAGCAACGCCGCGUGAGUGAUGAAGGCCUUCGGGUCGUAAAACUCUGUCCUCAAGGAAGAUAAUGACGGUACUUGAGGAGGAAGCCCCGGCUAACUACGUGCCAGCAGCCGCGGUAAUACGUAGGGGGCUAGCGUUAUCCGGAUUUACUGGGCGUAAAGGGUGCGUAGGCGGUCUUUCAAGUCAGGAGUGAAAGGCUACGGCUCAACCGUAGUAAGCUCUUGAAACUGGGAGACUUGAGUGCAGGAGAGGAGAGUGGAAUUCCUAGUGUAGCGGUGAAAUGCGUAGAUAUUAGGAGGAACACCAGUUGCGAAGGCGGCUCUCUGGACUGUAACUGACGCUGAGGCACGAAAGCGUGGGGAGCAAACAGGAUUAGAUACCCUGGUAGUC
This 572-nucleotide ribosomal RNA is filed under the name uncultured bacterium. RNAcentral describes it as "bacterial SSU rRNA". It matches the Rfam family "Bacterial small subunit ribosomal RNA", at positions 202 to 795 of the family's 1533-position model. The record is from RNAcentral.